GCAAGUCGAACGAGAAAGUCCCUGCUUGCAGGGACGAGUAUAGUGGCGCACGGGUGAGUAACACGUGGAUAAUCUACCUUCAAAUCAGGAAUAACUGUUCGAAAGGGCAGCUAAUACCGGAUAAAGUUUUGAUGACUCAGGUUGUUGAAAUGAAAGGGAGCCUCUGAUUUAAGCUUCUGUUUGGAGAUGAGUCCGCGUACCAUUAGCUUGUUGGUGGGGUAAAGGCCUACCAAGGCGACGAUGGUUAGCUGGUCUGAGAGGGUGGCC
RNAcentral lists this ribosomal RNA (267 nucleotides) under uncultured bacterium. RNAcentral's name for it is "partial 16S ribosomal RNA". It matches the Rfam family "Bacterial small subunit ribosomal RNA", at positions 57 to 305 of the family's 1533-position model. The record is from RNAcentral.